ACCUGGGUGGCUCAGUUGGUUGGGCGUCUGACUUUGACUCAGAUCAUGAUCUUGUGAUUCGUGGGUUCAAGCCCCACUUUAGGCU
Non-coding RNA from Hyaena hyaena (striped hyena), 85 nucleotides. The record is from the annotation of a RefSeq genome assembly. Lineage: Eukaryota; Metazoa; Chordata; Mammalia; Carnivora; Hyaenidae.